RNAcentral lists this ribosomal RNA (516 nucleotides) under uncultured bacterium. Its description in RNAcentral is "bacterial SSU rRNA". It matches the Rfam family "Bacterial small subunit ribosomal RNA", at positions 8 to 518 of the family's 1533-position model. The record is from RNAcentral.
AGAGUUUGAUCCUGGCUUAGGACGAACGCUGGCGGCGUGCCUAACACAUGCAAGUCGAGCGGAGAUGAUGUGAGGAAGUUUUCGGAUGGAAUCACAUUAUUUAGCGGCGGACGGGUGAGUAACGCGUGAGCGACCAACCUUGCACAGGGGGAUAACGGACCGAAAGGUUCACUAAUACCGCAUGAGACCACGGUGUUGCAUGACACAGGGGUCAAAGGAGCAAUCCGGUGCAAGACGGGCUCGCGUCCGAUUAGGUAGUUGGUGGGGUAGUGGCCCACCAAGCCUAUGAUCGGUAGCCGACCUGAGAGGGUGAUCGGCCACAUUGGAACUGAGAUACGGUCCAAACUCCUACGGGAGGCAGCAGUGGGGAAUAUUGGGCAAUGGGGGGAAAAACCCCUGACCCAGCAACGCCGCGUGAAGGAAGAAGGUUUUCGGAUUGUAAACUUCUGUCCUUGGUGAAGAGAAGAGGACGGUAGCCAAGGAGGAAGCCCCGGCUAACUACGUGCCAGCCGCUGC